GGUAGACUCUCCAUCUCGUUCUUCUGGUCCUUUAAUACGAGGGUUUUGGCUGUGAUCACCGCUGGUGUCUCUCCUCCGUUUAACCGGCAUGAGCCAAUCCAAGGACACUAUGUCUGUUAAGCAGAAACGACAAGAAUCAAAUGCACAACAAACUAAGACACCUGAGAGUGAACUAUUAAGUCUUAUCAAAAGUAAACGAGAUAUGGGAAUCUGGAAAGCAGACAUGAAAUGAGAGACGAAUCUUCCUGAACCUGUGGUCAAUAAAGCCCUCAAGGUACUCCAAGGCAAGAAUUGAUAAAAGAGGUCGUUAAAGUCAAAAGCAAGGGGAGAAAACAUUAUAUGGCAACAGAGUUUCAACCCUCGAAGGAAGUUACCGGUGGUUCAUGGUAUGCUGAUGAUGAUCUUGACAUAGAAUGCAUUCAUCACUAGGAAUAAAAUCACCAAGGCUGAUUGCACAAGCCAGCAAAUCGAAGAGAUACUUAGUUCUAUGGUUUUAGACAAUGAGAUUAUUGAGGUUAAGAGCACUGGAUUAGGAGAAUAUCAUUCCAUUCCGAUGAGAACCGAUUGUUAUAGAGCUGCAAGUGGGAUGGGAGGGGCUAAAAUUGGAGCCAUAGGUUCAAUUCCAUGCGGCAUAUGUUCCCGGAUUAAUCAGUGCACACCAGAUAGCAUUAUCUCUCCAAAUACCUGUGUCUACUACGAGAAAUGGUUGAAUUUUUAACUUGAUUUUGUUUGAAUGAUGCGCGUUAGAUCAGAUUUCUAACACUUUGGAGAAUUUAGCUUACUCUUUAUUGUUUAUGAACUGCCCUGUUUGGUUGCUGUUUA
This is a long non-coding RNA of Rhododendron vialii, 822 nucleotides long. RefSeq lists it as uncharacterized. Lineage: Eukaryota; Viridiplantae; Streptophyta; Magnoliopsida; Ericales; Ericaceae. The transcript is spliced from 2 exons. The record is from RefSeq and is a predicted model, not a curated record.